CAUGAACUGAAUCGUAUGGAUGUCACCGUUGUAGGAGACGAAAGAUACCUAAGAAGGUUACGUAAGCCGAGAUGGAUUCCGAUAUACAAAGCAUGAUCUUGUUCUGGCAUGAGAGCUUAACUGCCAUGAAUGAGUGAUUAGAUGAUUCGGGUGACGAGAGUUGGCUAAUCUUACAUGUGUCUAUCCUAAUUUCAGAUUCAUAGAAAAUCC
RNAcentral lists this long non-coding RNA (210 nucleotides) under Eutrema salsugineum. RNAcentral's name for it is "long non-coding RNA (ESAL_LNC000938)". The record is from RNAcentral. Lineage: Eukaryota; Viridiplantae; Streptophyta; Magnoliopsida; Brassicales; Brassicaceae.